RNAcentral lists this ribosomal RNA (1441 nucleotides) under Capsicum chinense (habanero). RNAcentral's name for it is "bacterial SSU rRNA". It matches the Rfam family "Bacterial small subunit ribosomal RNA". The record is from RNAcentral. Lineage: Eukaryota; Viridiplantae; Streptophyta; Magnoliopsida; Solanales; Solanaceae.
AAAGUUCGAUCCUGGCUCAGGAUAAACAUUGGCAGCAUGCUUAACACAUGUAAGUCAGAUGGGAAACACGAGAAAUGGUGUUUCCAGUGGUGGACGGGUGAGUAACGCGCAAGAACCUGCCCUUGGGAGGGGAACAAAAGCUAAAAACGGCUGCUAAUACCCCGUAGGCUGAGGAGCAAAAGGAGGAAUCCACCCGAGGAAGGGCUCGCAUCUGAUUAGCUAGUUGGUAAGGCAAUAGCUUACUAAGGAGAUGAUCAGUAGCUGUUCCNACUGAGACACGGCCCAGACUCCUAUAGGAGGCAGCAGUGGGGAAUUUUUCGUAAUGGGUGAAAGCCUGAUGGAGCAAUGCCAUGUGGAGGUAGAAGGACCAUGGGUCAUGAACUUCUUUUCCCAAAGAAGAAGCAAUAACGGUAUCUAGGGAAUAAGCAUUGGCUAACUCUGUACCAGUAGCCACGGUAAUAUAGAGGAUGCAAGCAUUAUCUAGAAUGAUUGGGCAUAAAGUGUCUGUAGGUGGCUUUUUAAGUCCGCCGUCAAAUCCCAGGGCUCAACCCUGGACAGGCGAUGGAAACUACCAAGCUGGAGUACGGUAGGGGCAGAUGGAAUUUCCGAUGGAUUGGUGAAAUACGUAGAGACCGGAAAGAACACCAACUGCAAGACCGACACUGACACUGAGAGACGAAAUCUAGGAGAGCAAAUAGGAUUAGAUACUCCAGUAGUCCUAGCCGUAAACGAUGGAUACUAGGAGCUGUGCGUAUCGACCCGUGUAGUGUUGUAGCUAACAUAUUAAGUAUACUGCCUGGGGAGUACGUUCGCAAGAAUAAAACUCAAAUGAAUUGAGGGGGCCCGUACAAACGGUGGAGCAUGUGGUUUAAUUUGAUGCAAAGCAAAGAACCUUACCAGGGCUUGACAUGCCGCAAAUCCUCUUGAAAGAGAGGGGUGCCUUCGGGAACACGGACACAGGUGGUGUAUGGCUGUCAUCAGCUCGUGUUGUAAGGUGUUGGGUGAAGUCCCCCAACGAUCGUAACCCUCAUAUUUAGUUGUCAUUGUUGAGUUUGGAACCCUGAACAGACUGCCGGUGAUCAGCCGGAGAAAGGUGAGGAUGACAUCAAGUCAUCAUGCCCCUUAUGCCCUGGGCGACACACGUGCUACAAUGGCCGAAACAAAAGGUCGCGAUCCUGCGAGGGUGAGGUAACCACAAAAACCCAUCUUCAGUUUGGAUUAUAGGCUGCAACUCGCCUGCAUAAAGCCGAAAUUGCUAUUAAUCACCAAUCAUCCAUACGGCGGUGAAUUCAUUCCCGGGCCUUAUACACAUCGCCCGUCAUACUAUGGGAGCUGGCCAUGCCCGAAGUCGUUACCUUAAUCGUAAGAAGGGGGAUGUCGAAGGUAGGGCUAGUGACUGGAGUGAAGUUAUAACAAUGUAGUCGUACUAGAAGGUGGGCUG